Molecule: ribosomal RNA, 221 nt
Filed under: uncultured prokaryote
Description: partial 16S ribosomal RNA
Rfam family: Bacterial small subunit ribosomal RNA
Source: RNAcentral
UACGUAGGGGGCGAGCGUUGUCCGGAUUUAUUGGGCGUAAAGAGCUCGUAGGCGGUUUGGUAAGUCGGAUGUGAAAUCUCCAGGCUCAACCUGGAGGGGUCAUUCGAUACUGCCAUGACUAGAGUUCGGUAGGGGUGCGUGGAAUUCCUGGUGGAGCGGUGAAAUGCGCAGAGAUCAGGAGGAACACCCGUAGCGAAGGCGGCACACUGGGCCGAUACUGA